Molecule: ribosomal RNA, 492 nt
Filed under: uncultured bacterium
Lineage: Bacteria
Description: partial 16S ribosomal RNA
Rfam family: Bacterial small subunit ribosomal RNA
Source: RNAcentral
AGUGAACGCUGGCGGUAGGCCUAACACAUGCAAGUCGAACGGCAGCACAGUAAGAGCUUGCUCUUACGGGUGGCGAGUGGCGGACGGGUGAGGAAUACAUCGGAAUCUACUUUUUCGUGGGGGAUAACGUAGGGAAACUUACGCUAAUACCGCAUACGACCUACGGGUGAAAGCAGGGGAUCUUCGGACCUUGCGCGAUUGAAUGAGCCGAUGUCGGAUUAGCUAGUUGGCGGGGUAAAGGCCCACCAAGGCGACGAUCCGUAGCUGGUCUGAGAGGAUGAGCAGCCACACUGGAACUGAGACACGGUCCAGACUCCUACGGGAGGCAGCAGUGGGGAAUAUUGGGCCAUGGGCGCAAGCCUGAUCAAGCCAUACCGCGUGGGUGAAGAAGGCCUUCGGGUUGUAAAGCCCUGUUGUUGGGAAAGAAAAGCAGCAGGUUAAUACCACGCUGUUCUGACGGUACCCAAAGAAUAAGCACCGGCUAACUUCGUG